This 29-nucleotide small RNA is filed under the name Bombyx mori (domestic silkworm). RNAcentral describes it as "ovarian small RNA-19266". The record is from RNAcentral. Lineage: Eukaryota; Metazoa; Arthropoda; Insecta; Lepidoptera; Bombycidae.
UAAGCGCAACAGCAGUUUUAUGCUUUAAA